This 465-nucleotide ribosomal RNA is filed under the name uncultured bacterium. RNAcentral describes it as "partial 16S ribosomal RNA". It matches the Rfam family "Bacterial small subunit ribosomal RNA", at positions 338 to 795 of the family's 1533-position model. The record is from RNAcentral.
CCUACGGGUGGCAGCAGUGGGGAAUCUUGCGCAAUGGGCGAAAGCCUGACGCAGCGACGCCGCGUGAGGGAUGAAAGUCUUCGGAUCGUCAACCUCUGUCAGCAGGGAAGAACGGUCACUGUGCUAAUCAGCAGUGAAUUGACGGUACCUGCAAAGGAAGCACCGGCUAACUCCGUGCCAGCAGCCGCGGUAAUACGGAGGGUGCGAGCAUUAAUCGGAAUUACUGGGCGUAAAGCGCUCGUAGGCGGUAUGUCAAGUCAAGGGUGAAAUCCCCGCGCUCAACGUGGGAACUGCCUUUGAAACUAGCAAACUGGAGUGUGUGAGAGGAUAGUGGAAUUCCAGGUGUAGGAGUGAAAUGCGUAGAUAUCUGGAGGAACAGCAGUGGCGAAGGCGACUAUCUGGCACAUAACUGACGCUGAGGAGCGAAAGCGUGGGUAGCAAACAGGAUUAGAUACCCGUGUAGUC